Melospiza melodia melodia is the source of this 1558-nucleotide long non-coding RNA. RefSeq lists it as uncharacterized. The transcript has 2 exons. The record is from RefSeq and is a predicted model, not a curated record. NCBI's taxonomy places the organism in Eukaryota, Metazoa, Chordata, Aves, Passeriformes, Passerellidae.
GUGGUUUGAUUUCAUCAGUUCUGGUGGUCAUGUGUUGGCAGUGCCUGAUAGGCCACAUUUUGGAUAGCUGGGCUUGAAUGUGUCAUCUUGAAUAUGUCAGGGCUCUGAAUAUGCCACCUUAGCACACUGUGCCUGCUCCAACCCACCUGUCUCUCUCCUCCUGGCCAACGCCUGGCUUUUUCAGCAUUACAGUUUCUUUUGCAAAAGGAUCUUCUACACACAGCCUCUCUUUCUUCUUCCAACUCCAGUGUGACACAAGGCCUGGGAAGCAGUGGUUUCACGGAGCAGAGAUGGAAAGAACUUUUCAGUUUUAGGUGAAAACUGGGGGGAUGUUCAGAGCCUUCCAGAAUGCUGGUCAGUCACUUUGUCAUCUGACAGCUGAUGGGAAGAAGUUGCUCUGUGCUCCCAGCACAGCCCAGCAGUGGCAGAACUUCACCACAAGUGAAGGGGUUACCAUCUAAGGAAAAGGAAGCACCCCAGAAUUCCCAACACCAAGACCACCUCAUGGCUGUCAGUCAGCUGGAAUAUAAACCCAGAGGUUUCUCUGGAUAGUCCUGAAUCACAACUAUGCCAUGUCUAGCAGGGAAACUUUCAGCAACAGCCCAAGAGGUAUGGCUCAUCUGUGCCUGUACUCAAGUGGACAUCUGGAUUAUCCAACAUUUACCGUCCAAUAUCUGCCAAGGAAAAUUCCAAGCUGUGAUUAUUUCUGGAUUCCAUUUCUCAGAAGACAGAAUAGUUUCUAGACAAUUCCCAUUGCUUUUUGUUUCUUCAUAGGCCUCUCUCCCAGAAAACCCAAAGAAGAUUCUGAAUUUGAUCUCCAAAAGCCCUUAGAUGUAUGCUGGUUGCCUUCUACCACAAAUUAACUACAAGCAGCAAACUCUUUUUCCUCAGAUCCUUGGUUAACCACAGCCUCAGAGGGCUUGGCCUUUUCCCUGGCCAGGACAUGCCAUGGCAUCUUGGUGCUGCAGUUCCUGCUGUGCUCUCCAGGAUGCUUCACUUGUGGCUGGCACUGUGCAGAGUCUGUGUGUGCAGUCAGCCCAACCCAGGAAACAGCACAAAGAACAGGUCAAGUAAGUUGUGUGUUGCCAAGCUGCAUCCUGGCACCACCAUGGGAAAGGGGAGCAGGUCCUGGGAGCCAAAAGGAGCACAGUUCAGAUGGGACCACAUCUUGCAGUGUGGCUCUAACAGGAUGUUCCUCAUGGUGUCCUGUUGCUGGGAUGAUGGAGGAGUCAAGGAUGGAGAGGUUCCAUCAACAGAGGUUCAUUCCACCAUGUCCAGGCAGACUGGAAGAGGGACUGAGGACCAAGAGAGUGUUAGUGCAGCAGAAAUGGCCUUGGACAGAAAAAGAGGUGACAAGCAGCAGACCAUGGACAAGGCUCACAUCACAGAGGUGCAAGAUCUGCCUGUCCCUGGGCACAGGAGUGAUGAACACCAUCUCCUCCUCAUGCUUGUUCUGUGCUCCACUUUCAUUCUCAAGACAGUGGCAGGUGGCUGUAAUCCUUAUUUCUGACUUGGUUCCCUCCUCCAUUUCCACAAUAAAGUCCCUGAUGUUACAGUU